This 523-nucleotide ribosomal RNA is filed under the name uncultured soil bacterium. RNAcentral describes it as "bacterial SSU rRNA". It matches the Rfam family "Bacterial small subunit ribosomal RNA", at positions 8 to 526 of the family's 1533-position model. The record is from RNAcentral.
AGAGUUUGAUCCUGGCUCAGAUUGAACGCUGGCGGCAUGCUUUACACAUGCAAGUCGAACGGCAGCACGGGGGCAACCCUGGUGGCGAGUGGCGAACGGGUGAGUAAUGCAUCGGAACGUAUCUUUAAGUGGGGGAUAACGCAGCGAAAGCUGUGCUAAUACCGCAUAAUCUCUGAGGAGAAGAGCAGGGGAUCGCAAGACCUUGCGCUUUUGGAGCGGCCGAUGUCUGAUUAGCUAGUUGGUGAGGUAAAGGCUCACCAAGGCUCCGAUCAGUAGCUGGUCUGAGAGGACGACCAGCCACACUGGGACUGAGACACGGCCCAGACUCCUACGGGAGGCAGCAGUGGGGAAUUUUGGACAAUGGGGGCAACCCUGAUCCAGCCAUGCCGCGUGAGUGAAGAAGGCCUUCGGGUUGUAAAGCUCUUUCAGCCGGAAAGAAAUCGUGCAGAUUAAUACUCUGUAUGGAUGACGGUACCGGAAGAAGAAGCACCGGCUAACUNNNNNCCAGCAGCCGCGGUAAUUC